ACCUACGGGGGGCAGCAGUAGGGAAUUUUCGUCAAUGGGCGCAAGCCUGAACGAGCAAUGCCGCGUGAACGAGGAAGGUCUUCGGAUCGUAAAGUUCUGUUGUAGGGGAAAAAGAGCGGAGAGAGGAAAUGAACUCCGAUUGAUAUUACCCUUCGAGGAAGUCACGGCUAACUACGUGCCAGCAGCCGCGGUAAUACGUAGGAGGCGAGCGUUAUCCGGAAUGAUUGGGCGUAAAGGGUGCGUAGGCGGCCUGCUAAGUCUGGAGUGAAAGGUAGCGGCUCAACCGGUACAGGCUCUGGAAACUG
This 305-nucleotide ribosomal RNA is filed under the name uncultured bacterium. RNAcentral's name for it is "bacterial SSU rRNA". It matches the Rfam family "Bacterial small subunit ribosomal RNA", at positions 337 to 635 of the family's 1533-position model. The record is from RNAcentral.